Molecule: long non-coding RNA, 880 nt
Organism: Prionailurus viverrinus (fishing cat)
Lineage: Eukaryota; Metazoa; Chordata; Mammalia; Carnivora; Felidae
Exons: 7
Source: RefSeq, a predicted model, not a curated record
CACAGGAUCGACAUGCAGAGGCCAUAAGACAUGCUGAGGAGAUGAAAGAUCAUAUGCAAAAGUAGAAUUCUACCCUCAGAGAAAAUAGCGCUAAAAGUUCAACAUGCCAGAUGGGAAGAAACCAUUAAACAGCAAGUGGCCCAAAUUCAAGAUCUUCAGAGCAACUUGUUAAGGAUAAGUUUGAGGAACUUCAGCGGGGGGCUGGAUUGCAGCCACUGUCGCUGAAGGGGAAAAGGGUUCUUGGAGCCAUUUUUCAAGACCAGGUGGUGAAUACCCGACAGUACUUGGAACAUGUGAAAGACUCCACAACAGGAAUGCAAGGUAGAGUGGUGAAGCUAUUCACCAACCAUUUCCGAGUGACCUCUCGCCCUCAACUCCUCACGUAUAAGUACAACAUUGAUUACAUGCCAGAGGUUGAAGAUGGAAAAGUUCGUACAGAUUUGCUCUGCCAGCAUAAACAUGUAAUUGGAGAGUGUCCCACAUUAGAUGGGAACUCUUUAUUACUGCCUCAUAAACUACAAAAGCAGGAAUUUUGAAGAUGAUGGAUUUGAAGCAAGUUGGUCGCAACUAUUACAACGAGAAUGAGGCCACGGAGUUCCUCAAUCACCAGACAUUUUAAGCUGAAGAGCGUGGAUGUAAAGCUGCUUGGCCAGCAUCAUCUUAGGAGUCCUCGACUUUAUUCUUGCUUCCCAAUUUCAAAAUUUACGACAAAGCUCUCGGAAUCAGGACAGUGGGAUACUGCAAGAGUUUCAAGACCGCUUUCUUGGGGAAGGAAUACUCGUUUCCUCAAAUAUUGCUGGGACCACUGGAUAUCCACCUGGCCAUUCCUCACAGAAGAUACAAAAUUAACUCCAAUUUGUCCCCCAAAUUAACUAAAAAU